CCUUUGGCCUGGCCCAUAUUCGUUCUCCGCUCGGACCAUGCUCCCGACCUAGGGUACCGCCACCCCGCCACCGCUCCCUCUCGCAGUAAAGGCCGGGGGAGGCGAGUUGGCGUUCCUCUACGCGGACUGCGGCGGCGCUGCCUUGGUUCCCGAAGAGUGGUUUCCGGCUACCCACGGCGGCCGAGAUCGCCGCGUCGUUGUGGCCCGAUCUCCUCUACGGUGACGGCAUCGCAGGGGGCGGAUAGAUGUCGCGUCGUUGUGGAUCGAUCUCCUCCACGGCGACGACGACACAAAAGGCGGAUACGAGAGAUGUUGUGGCGAGCGACCGAGAUAUCGCAGCCACCAAAAUCACUACGACCACCGUCCAUGGCAGAGGAUGAGCAGGAUGGGGCCUGGGCGCACGAGAUCCCUUCGACCCUGCUGCCAAGAUCCCUCCGAGACCACGUCGACCGGAUCCGGUACUCACAUCACCCAGAUCUGUCCGAAUUUACCAUGCCUGCUUGUAGGUUUGUGUGUGAUCUUUACUGUGUCAUUUUUGCACUUUCGCAUCACGGAAUUACGGCCGUACUCACAUCACCCAGAUCUCAGGCACCAUAUUUCAGUUCUUAAGAUGCAAUUCUAAAUGACGUCGAGGGGCAGUAGCCUGAGAUUGAAGAAAUCAGGGCAGCAUCCUGAGCACGAACCGGAGCAGCAGCUGCAGUUCCGCUUUCCUCUCAACUCGCCUCCUCCUGUCGCCAUUCCGUCCGAUUAUGCCUCCACCUGUGAGACGGCGAGAAGCAAAGGGAAGGGCGCCAGUCGUGGCAGCGUGUCGGAGGGCCGACCAGUGGUACAGAGGACAGGCAUCAUGGUACUCCUCGCCCUUAGGCUUUCACCGACGUGUACGAGGUCCAUCCUCACUAUCUUCUGUUGCUCUUCACUUCAUACUAUUCAAUCGAGAAUCCAUUUUCUUUGAUUGAGAUCUUUAGCUGCCUGGUUGUGUGGACUCAUGUUUGGAUCUAUUUGUUCAUCACACUAGGAAAAAUAUACCACUCUAACGUCACAGAGUAUGAUUGAAUUAGUUGCCAGAUUUAUUUCUCAGUUUUGUUGGAGGAGUGAUAUGUAUAAUAUUUUGGUCACUGUACUGGUUAAUACUCCACAUAUACCAUCACACCUUUUUUUUUUGCCUCAAGCAACACGAUUAAAAAUUAUGUAUGUGCUCUGAGUAAAAAUCAUGAGAUUGACAAACUAAUCUAUUGCCAGAAUUGUAAUAAAGCUCCGGUAGGCUCUAUCAAGGUAGGGAUUGUACUCUCAUUUUCUUAUUUGUGGUAAAAAAAAUAUGACAAUUUAAUUGUCCGGGAAGAAUUUCAUAUAAGCUACUUUCAGUACUUCGGGCCAUUAGCUCAGACAUAACACUAUAUAUGACUUUCCUUUUGAUGUUGCUAAUGAGGUAGCCUUAUCUUGGGAAUAUUUCAUGUGUUAAUUAAUAAAACAUAAUACUAUCUAGGCUUAUCCCUAGAAAAGCUUUUUCAGGAGCCCAUUUGCUGAUCUGGAGAUGGCUUGGGCCACUCACACCAAAAAGAGUCGUCUAGGCAGCCUAUCUGCAGAUAUGGACAAGAUGAUCUAGGUUAUUAUUGUGACAAAGAUAUCGUUAAGACUGCAUGAGUAGCCAAGACGCUUUGGGUUCAAAUGUCUCUCCUGAAACCAUUCUUUGUGCCGGAAAUGGCUCUGUGUCCCAGGCUAAUGGUGCUGAGCCCCUGGAAUGAGCCUUAGCCAAUGGGUGUUCUGAGUUUCUGACAAACAUAUCAGUCCUUCCGUAGAUGAGGUCAUAUCUGAGAAGACUGAUGAUGUUUCAGAGAAAAAAAAUCGAAUGCACUGACACUCAAGGUUGAACUUGGCUAUAUCACGAGGGAAAAGAUUCCAAUGGGAAUUGUUAAAAGAGAGGAAAGAGUUGACUUAACCUACAGAAACACGCUCAGUCCUGACAUGAUAUAGACGAUCCAAAUUAUUGGUGGGAUGUGCCUAAGUCUGUCGCACCGUUGUCAGUGGAACUGCAUCGGAAAUUUGUUGUUGCUAUCAACAUUCUCGGGAUUGAUAAAGCUGUACCGAAAAGAAUACUGGAGCUUAUGAACAUGGAGAAACUCACCAGGGAAAAUGUUGCCACUCGUCUGCAGGAGGGGAGCUGGUGGCCGAGGAUGGUCUCGGGGCGGAGGUGGGUUCAGCGGUCGUGGCUGAGGUUGUGAUGGUGGCCAAGGGCGUGGGAGAUGGAGAUGGAGGGGAGGGCAAGGCAAUGUGGAGGUUUGUGCUGCAGACCUCGAUGCUGACUUGGACAAGUACCACUCGGCUGCGAUGCAAACCAGCUAGAUGGCUCUUGCACUGCCUUGCAUGUAUUGUUCUUUUGGUAGUGAUAGAUGCAAACCUCUCUCGCGAACCAGCGUUGCCGUUUCCUAGGGUUCGGCUCGGCCGCUGCUUCCUUCAACAAUGCCUCCUGACCUUGGCUGUCGCCUCUCUACCUACUCCGCCUCCGCUCAAGCUCGGCCAGGACAAGAGAACGCAUUCACGCGUCGCCACGGCCAUCGCCUCCAUGCGCCUCCAGCUACGCAAAGAGAUCAGAUCUCGUGGGCGACCGUGACGUUGCGCCUGUCGCUGCCGAUUCCCCCUACGAUGGGUUCAUCCUCCAUCGCGCACGACCCGGCGCCUCCACAUCGACCCACGGGGACACACACAUCAUCCAGACCGAUGUCCGGCGACGCGAACCUCCAAAGGAGCUCUGAUAGCGAUGACCACCUGCGGCCGGAACCCUGCUCUCCUGGCUUUGCAACUCCAUCUGGACCGAUUCAUCCUCUCCGGAUAUUGUGCUUACGGACUUUGAUUCCGAAGGCUGUGAAUCGCGGGGUAUGGGACUAUGGAUGAUCUAAGACGAAUUAAGUAGUAAACAAAUGGAUGUAAUUUGUAUCUUGCACACUCUUUGAUUCAAAUGCUCUGAAUGCUAGGUAUAUAUAUUCAAAAAUGUAUUUUUUUGGUGCCUAAUAGUAUUACUAUUAGGCUACUAGGAUUACCCCCUUAACCAGUGACAGUGAUGAGAUUGUAAAAAGAAUUCAAUACCCCGCGAUGUAAAAGGUAAACUUUGAGUAUAGAGUGCCUAGAAGCCCUCCACCUUCCUGUAGGUGAAACCUCCUUGUAAAAGGUUAAUGGUGUGUUGGUUACGAAAUGCUUCAGAUCUUGAUAGGAUUAUAUGAAUGCGAUUGUCUAACUUCAUCAAAAUUUAGUAAAACUGUGGUAUCCAUUAUUUUCUUCUUAGUAGAAAGCAUAGUAUCUAACUUCAUCAAAAUUUAGUAAAAUUGUAAAUACAUGAAAUGUGCAUGGAUUUUGGUACUCGUAAGAGCCUCUAGAAUAACAACUUGAUCAGAGGAAUUAGAAAUACCUAAUUUCUCAUCUAUAAUAAUCAAGUCAGUUGAAUAACUUAUUUUGUUUCCCACAAUGUUUGCAACUUUAUUCUUCGGAGGAGCUCACCUUCCUGGUCUAGAAACUGUUCUUGUGCAGUUCACGAUGGUGCUAUGUACGGUUUGAGGUGAUACUCACGGGCUGGAGUGUCGACGAAAAUCUCUAUGGGAAGCACACUUGGAUUAUUUGAUCAGUUCGCCAGUAGCGUGGAAACAAAAUGAUUCCGCUAGACAGGUCCAAAUAAUGACACCUCAAAAGAUACGGAUCUCAUACACAGAGAAUAUAUCAACUGAAGGACUUGUUGUGGAGAUUAUGUCAAACAGAUCGAAUUAAGUUCAUUAUGUGGAUGCCAAAGGAUCACGAAGGAGCGUGUUAUUGAAACAUCGAGCAGUGACUUUCAUCAUCAAGGCUGCAAUGCUGAAGGCACUCAACUCAAAAUGACAGGGGGGAGGAAUGUGUGGAGGACGUUGAGGGACUGGCAGGUGGCUUUAUACGCGUUCAUAGUUUUGAUGACGAUCAAGGUGAUGCCCUUGUAUGUCUACGUGCUAAGAUAUUGCCUUGGCCUUGUUACUGUUUUUAGUGGUAUAUGUGGGCUUGUAUUGCUCUGUAUUGGGUCAGUUAAGAGUCUUUCACUACCUAAAAUGUUCUUCUGAUCUGGAUUACUCUUAAAUCUGUUCUAAUGAGUAAAUCCUAUUAAGUGUCCCAAAUACAUGGUUGUUAUAAUUUUCUUCUAAAACAGUUUCGAUAAUAGAUUGACCUCCACAUGUGAGAGGAUCAAAAUUUCACAUAAUAUCAUAAAGGCUAGGCUCACAAUAGGUAAGCUUUUAA
This is a non-coding RNA of Lolium perenne, 4248 nucleotides long. The record is from RefSeq and is a predicted model, not a curated record. NCBI's taxonomy places the organism in Eukaryota, Viridiplantae, Streptophyta, Magnoliopsida, Poales, Poaceae.